This 253-nucleotide ribosomal RNA is filed under the name uncultured bacterium. Its description in RNAcentral is "partial 16S ribosomal RNA". It matches the Rfam family "Bacterial small subunit ribosomal RNA", at positions 524 to 776 of the family's 1533-position model. The record is from RNAcentral.
UACGGAGGGUGCGAGCGUUGUCCGGAAUCACUGGGCGUAAAGCGCGCGUAGGCGGCCCGGUAAGUCCGCUGUGAAAGUCAAAGGCUCAACCUUUGAAUGUCAGCGGAUACUGCCGGGCUAGAGUCCGGAAGAGGCGAGUGGAACUCCUGGUGUAGCGGUGGAAUGCGCAGAUAUCAGGAAGAACACCAACGGCGAAGGCAGCUCGCUGGGACGGAACUGACGCUAAGGCGCGAAAGCGUGGGGAGCGAACAGG